GUGGGGAAUAUUGGACAAUGGGCGCAAGCCUGAUCCAGCCAUGCCGCGUGAGUGAUGAAGGCCUUCGGGUUGUAAAGCUCUUUCAGAUGUGAAGAUGAUGACGGUAACAUCAGAAGAAGCUCCGGCUAACUUCGUGCCAGCAGCCGCGGUAAUACGAAGGGAGCGAGCGUUGUUCGGAAUCACUGGGCGUAAAGAGUGCGUAGGCGGUUAUACAAGUCAGGAGUGAAAUCCCAGGGCUCAACCCUGGAAUUGCUUUUGAAACUGUAUAGCUAGAGUCCCGGAGGGGUUAAUGGAAUUCCGAGUGUAGAGGUGAAAUUCGCAGAUAUUCGGAGGAACACCAGUGGCGAAGGCGAUUAACUGGACGGGCACUGACGCUGAGGCACGAAAGCGUGGGGAUCAAACAGGAUUAGAAACCCGAGUAGUCC
This 425-nucleotide ribosomal RNA is filed under the name uncultured bacterium. RNAcentral's name for it is "partial 16S ribosomal RNA". It matches the Rfam family "Bacterial small subunit ribosomal RNA", at positions 354 to 796 of the family's 1533-position model. The record is from RNAcentral.